This 466-nucleotide ribosomal RNA is filed under the name uncultured bacterium. Its description in RNAcentral is "partial 16S ribosomal RNA". It matches the Rfam family "Bacterial small subunit ribosomal RNA", at positions 28 to 507 of the family's 1533-position model. The record is from RNAcentral.
GACGAACGCUGGCGGCGCGCCUAACACAUGCAAGUCGAACGAGCGAGAGAGAGCUUGCUUUCUCAAGCGAGUGGCGAACGGGUGAGUAACGCGCGAGGAACCUGCCUCAAAGAGGGGGACAACAGUUGGAAACGACUGCUAAUACCGCAUAAGCCCACAGGUCGGCAUCGACCAGAGGGAAAAGGAGCAAUCCGCUUUGAGAUGGCCUCGCGUCCGAUUAGCUAGUUGGUGAGGUAACGGCCCACCAAGGCAACGAUCGGUAGCCGGACUGAGAGGUUGAACGGCCACCUUGGGACUGGGACACGGCCCAGACUCCUACGGGAGGCAGCAGUGGGGAAUAUUGCACAAUGGGGGAAACCCUGAUGCAGCGACGCCGCGUGGAGGAAGAAGGUCUUCGGAUUGUAAACUCCUGUUGUUGAGGAAGAUAAUGACGGUACUCAACAAGAAAGUGACGGCUAACUACGUG